AAGAAGCUUACAUGGUUCUGCACAGGGAAGUUUUUACUGGGAAGCUUUGCUAAAUCCUACGCAGUGCUGUAGUAACAAAUAAGAGCUUGGAAAGAGCAAGAGUUCUUGGCACCUAUUCUGCAGGUGAGAAUUUUCUACUUGUCAGAAGCACUUAGCUCUCGUGGAUUUACAGUGCUUUCUGAUGUCAUUUUGAAGAAAAAACUUUACAUUCAAGCCUUUUGUCACAGGACAUGUAGUCUCAUUGCACCUGCCUCAACUCUUAAGGCAAGUUUAUCCUGUGAAGUGUCGAACAACCUUAUCUUUCUUCAGAACAGGAGCUGAGGACUCUGAAAACCUCAAGAAAUGUCUCUGUUUACUGGAAGACCAGACAGCACAUCAUAUAAACAUACCCUCCGGGCUUUCUGUAGGAGGAGGAGGAAGUCUUUAUCUUCCAUCACAAAAGGGAGGUCAAAAGGACCAAGCGAGUGCCAGGCCAAGUAACUUCUGUUGUUCUAGAGUUCAUUUUUGGAGGAGAGCCAUUCUCGUUGUGUAACACUGAUGCAGCACAUUUCAUUAGCUGUGUACAGAUCCAAGAAUAAAUUUUGGCCUUGACCGUGGAAUGUUCACCCACUUUCAAGUAUGGAUGUGACCUGCCUUCUUCUGUGACUAACAGGGUAACCAGAGGCAGUGGAACAUACACCAGGACUAGAGAGAAUAAAACCAGAGGGAAAGCAAGCUGUCAAGAGAACAGUGUACUGAAAAGGAAAAAUGUAAAACAUGACUUCUAUUUACCAUGAUUAAUAUGUAAAGUUAACAUGUUUGUCAUGGAAUAUAUUAAUAUGUAUGUUUUCCCAUUAUGUAGAUCUUUUCUUAUAUUACUUAUUAGAAAGGGAUAUAAUCACAAUGAUGGGGCAAGAAUGCCACUUAAAAAUUAGGUGAUGCCCAGUCAACAUAAUAUAACCACUACAGUGUCAUUUCUGAUUUAGAUGCUGUGAUAUCAGCGUAAUUGCCGCUGGGAAGAAAUUAUAAUGGUUGUUAAUGAUAAAUAAAAUGACAAGAAGGAGGAUCCUCCUUCACAUAUAAUUCCAAGCAAAACUCAACUGCUGACUUCCUUAAGCACUCAGUGCCAUUCACUGAUGAAGAGGAAAUAAGCAGGUUUAUUGUAGCUGCAUGGCCAUACAAACAGCACUGCCGUUUCCUAAGCCUGAGCUUAGACAUUAUGGGCCUAACAGGAUUUCACCACACUAUUUUCACUCAGGGGAGAUGUAAUAGUGAAGCUCACAUAAAGUGAAUCUUAAUACAAAGUUAAUAUUAUUCUAACAGAAAGCACUGUAGCUAGCAAACACAAACAUAAGCAAAAACAGGGUGAAGGUGAGUAUACAAUCAUGCAUGUGGAUACUUUUCAAAGCUCUUAAAUACUCCAGUUUUGUCUCUGUAAACAUAGGCAGCCUUAACCCAUGGAUCAAAAGACCUUCCUACAUUUGUUUUAUAUCAUAAAUGUGUCAAGAAUGAGCUACACAAAGCAGCGUUCACCAGCUGCACAUGGCUUGUAAGACUAGUUGAGAGCAUCUUUCAACUCAUUCACACAUUAAAAGCCAGGAAACCAACAUCUGAUUACUAGUCCCAGCAUUAAGAUCAAAGACCGUAUCUUCUCAUCUGUGAAGAGCAAGAGCCCAGUUCUUCUUACUCUGCAAUUACAGAAGACUCAAAACACAAAAUCAACAUUAUACUCCACAUCCCAUGAAUAACACAGUUCCAGUCUAUAAAAGCACAAAGCACCAAGUAAAACAUACAUACACUUUUUUUCCUAGACAUCAUGGAAAGGAGAUAAGUACAAGCAAAUCUGUAGUCACAUCUUCACAAUACUCCUGGUCUGCAGCCACAGAAAGCUCAGUCUGCUUGAUCCGCGGGCAUUAUCCUACUGUGUAAAAUUAUGACACCUCUUAAAAGGGAAAAUACCACAUACCUGCCAUUUACUCUGCAUUUGGUAUCUUCUAAAUCAAUUGGUAAAUGGUGGUGUAAGGGUUAAAUUAAAACAAUGCAUUAAAUUAAAACCACAUAAGAUACAGGCAGUGUUGGUUGACCUGUUAUUUCAUUAUCAUUGCUAAGUAUUUAGUUAUCCAUUAGUCAAGGAAGCUUAAAAAUACAAAUAAAUAGAAUGUCAACCUUA
Molecule: long non-coding RNA, 2149 nt
Organism: Neopsephotus bourkii (Bourke's parrot)
Lineage: Eukaryota; Metazoa; Chordata; Aves; Psittaciformes; Psittacidae
Exons: 3
Source: RefSeq, a predicted model, not a curated record